UGGGGUAUCGCCAAGUGGUAAGGCUGUGGGUUUUGAUUCCACCAUCGAAGGUUCGAUUCCUUCUACCCCAA
This 71-nucleotide transfer RNA is filed under the name Bigelowiella natans. Its description in RNAcentral is "tRNA-Gln". It matches the Rfam family "tRNA". From Rfam's summary of the family: Transfer RNA (tRNA) molecules are approximately 80 nucleotides in length. The record is from RNAcentral. Lineage: Eukaryota; Cercozoa; Chlorarachniophyceae.